CCACUACAAUUGAACCAUUUCUCACUCCGGUUAGAGCUGUGUGGUGCUGGUGAACCAACAGGCAAACAGAUCAGUGGAAGAGAAUAUAAAGUUAUAAAGAAUUAGACCCAAAUCCAUGUGAAUACAGUACACAACAGGGUGGCCCCUCAAAUCACAAGCGUAAAGAUGACAUAAUUAAUAAAUUUUGACGACAGUUCCAUCAACAGCUGGAGGGGAGACAUCAGCAGGUUCACCACAGACAAAAAGUCAAGAUUCCAAGAUAUAAAGAGCUUACAAGUUAAGGGACAUCACAAUCACCAGAUGACCAUGACCAUAACCAGAGAGGGGACAGGCAUUGGCAGGAAUAUGAAGAAAUUGGACAGUGCUGGUGGGAAUUCAAAAUAGCACAGCUUCCCGGGAAAACAGGCAGAUCCUGAAAAUGGUGAACACACAGCUGGAAUUCUACUCCUACACAUAACUGAAGGAAAAUAGAAAAGAUGGCCACGUAAGAGCUCAUGUGGAUGCUCAUAGCACCUGCUGUCAACACAGCCCCAAAGUGGAGGCUUAAACAUUCAUCAACAGGUGAAGGGACAAACAAACAUGGUACACAACGGAAUAUUAUUCAUAAAAAGGAAUGAAAUCUUGGAUUACACAAUGACACAGGGAAACCCAGAAAACGUGCUAAGGGAAAGGAAAGUCAGUCACAAAUUCAAGCUUAGGACAUUUCCACAAGGUAACUGAUAGAUUGUCCUCAGAAUGUCAGAAUUGCCGGGCACAGUGGCACUUGCCUGUAAUCCCUGCAGCUUGUAGGCUGAGGCAGGAGGAUUGAGAGUUCAAAGCCAGCCUUAGCAAAAAAGCAAUUCAGUGAGACCCACUGAGGUGGCUCAGUGGUUGAGUGACCCUGAGUUUAAUCCCUGAUUACCCCCCCCCAAAAAACCUGUCAGAAUUAUGAAAAAUAGAGAAACACUGGUGCUCACUGAAAGCAACAAAGGACAAAUAGUAACAGAAUGCUAUGUGACAUUCUGUGUAGGGUUUCAGAACACUGAAAGGACAUGUGUGAAAAAAUUAGUGGAAUUACAAUAAGCACGGUAGCUUGGCAAAUAAUAUAGUACACUACUGAGCCACAUCCCCAGCCCUUUUUAUAUUUAUUUAGAGAAAGAGUCUCGAUUAUUGCUUAGGGCCUCUUGCUAAAUUGCUGAGGCUGGCUUGGAACUCACAAUCCUCCCCUCUCAGCCUCCAGAGCUGCUGGGAUCACAGGCGUGCACCACCAUGCUCAGAAAAUUUCUUGGUUUGGGUAGUUGGCUAUGGUAAUAUUAAAAUGGAAUUAGGGGAAGACGAGUGAAGGAUAUAAAUGAAACUGCACUACCUUUGCAAUUUUUCUGUCAACCCCAAAUCAUAAAGUUAUUCUCUGACACAGGAAGAGAAAUAGAAUUCAAAAUUAAAAAUCUGUCCAUUCUUACUUACCUUCAUUAAAUGACCACAAUCAUGAUGGGUGUCACACUGGAAAGUCUCCAAAGAUGCAAAGUGUACUCACUACCUCGCGCAUGCUUACAACUAGGGCACUCAGGGUACCUGCAGAGCCUAGGUAUGAUAAAAAGGGAAACUGUCCCAAGAGUCAGUUCAGUGACCUCUUACAGGAUUUAGGUGAUUCUUGAAAGUUCUCAUCAGCCGCCCUAAUUAGACUACUUCAUCUAAAUCUAUUUUGGAUUUUAUUCUAAUCAGAUUAGCACGUUUAGAGGGAGGAUAAGCCCUUGAACUUAUCUGUCAUAGUCGCUCCUGGUGCUGACCUGGAGUCCCAGCCACUGGAGGCUGAGGCAGGAGGAUGGCAGAUUCAAGGUCAGCCUCAGCAGUUGGUGAGACCCUGUCUUAAAAAAAAAAAAAAAGAAAAAGAAAAACAACUAAAAGGGCUGCGGAUGUGGCUCAGUGGUUAAGCCCCUGGGUUCAGUCCCCCGUCCAAAAAAGAAAAAGUCCAUUGUACAGUUUGCAUCUGGAGCAGCCAGAGGGCCGCCAUUAAAGGCAUGGGCCGCCAAGGGGCAGGCGACUGGGCCUCCUAGGAGGUCCUCAGGUCCUGGGGGAUUGCAGGACCUCAGCCUCCUCUUCCACUUCCUAGCCUGUCAUGGACUGGCUCCUCCAAAACUGUGAGCCAAACAAGCCUUCUCUCUUUCUAAGUUGCUUACCUCUGGUAUUUUCUUUUGUACCAGGGAUUGAACUCAGGGGCACUAGACCUGAGCCACCUCCCCAGCCCUGUUUUGCAUUUUUUUAGAGACAGGGUCUCAUGAGUUGCUAAGUACCUCACCGUUGCUGAGGCUGGCUUUGAACUGUGAUCCUCCUGCCUCUGCCUCCCUAGCCACUGGGAUUACAGGCGUGCACCAUGGCGCGGGCUGGGUAUGACCUCACAGUGAUCGAAGCCGACCCUCGGAGCCCUCUUAUUACAAAAUGUCUUUUGUGGGAUUGAGUCAUCCAUCAAGGCAUCUGCAGAGGCACAGAGGUGCAGCUGUGCCCUGGAGAACACUUCUUAUUUAUUUUAUUUAUUUGGUACCAAGAUUGAACCCAGGAACCAACCACCAAACCACAUUUUUUAAUCUUAUUUUGAGACAGGAUCUCACAAAAUUGUUCAGGGUCUUACUAAGUUGAGGCUGCCUGUGAACUCAGGAUCCUCCUGCCUCAGCCUCAUGAGCCACUGGGAUUCCAGGCGUGGGCCACUGCACCAGGGGAGGCAUUACUUCAAUGCUGUUUCCACUGUGGAGCUGGAGUUGACACCAGGUACCACAGGAAGGCCCCACAGCCAGCCUGCGCUGACGUCAGAGCCUGUUUGUCCCCAUCCCUGCCCCCGUCCUCAGCCAUGUUAUUUUGCCGUGCC
This 2839-nucleotide long non-coding RNA is filed under the name Marmota monax (woodchuck). The record is from RNAcentral. Lineage: Eukaryota; Metazoa; Chordata; Mammalia; Rodentia; Sciuridae.